Molecule: long non-coding RNA, 1022 nt
Organism: Brassica oleracea var. oleracea
Lineage: Eukaryota; Viridiplantae; Streptophyta; Magnoliopsida; Brassicales; Brassicaceae
Exons: 3
Source: RefSeq, a predicted model, not a curated record
UAGGACGAUGUUUCGAAAAGUACGGGAAUGCAAAUGCCUUGACCUUUAUGGUUUUUAGGUUUGAGCUCUUCUUUCAAACUGGUAUUUCAGCGACACCAUUUGACUUCGUAAAUUUUUAUCUCUUACAAGUUUUAUGUUUGCAUGGAGGGCUUUCACUUUUUCUGAAUACACUUGAUAAUAUCCGGAGCUUGGAUUGGCUACAGGAGGUGUCACACAACGGACCAAUGUGUGAUUUACUAUGGUCCCCAUGAUCGAUGUGGGUUGGUUAUACAUUUGGACAGCUCAAUUCAAUGUUAACAAUGGACUCAAUGUCACAUCAAGAGCACAUCAAGCUUCUCAUGGAAGGUUUUAACUGGUGCAGGUGUGUAUGUUCAUUUCAAUUGCUCAGGGCUCUAACAAGGCGAUUCUAAAGAUAAGAGAGGAGCAGAAUUUCGUCCAGUUUGAUCCAGCUCCUCGACAAGCCGAAAUACCACCAUUCCUAAAACCUAUACAACGGCAUUUGCUCAGCAUCUACAAUGGAAUCGUGAUGGGUUUUACUAAUCACAACCGAGAGCUUUCUUAAUGUCUAUUUGGUAUGUUUCUAACCUCAAAUUUCAAUAAUCUCCAAGUAGAACCUGCAGGUUUUUAAAAAGGAUCACAAGACUAAAUUAUAAACAAUAGGAAACCCUGAAGAAACUACCUCUCAACAACUUCCACCUCUUGAAAUUGGAUUAAAUGUAGGGAGUUCCUUUCCGCAGUUGAUUAUUUGGCCAAAACAUCAGAAGCAUAAGGCCAAGUUCUGACAUGCGCAUGGUAUACAUUGUAUUGGCUUUCCUGUAUCUUCUACCAAAUGUUUCCUCCCAUUGAGCAGUAGUAUUAAAAAAACUCAGUAUCGAGUUUGUUACAUUAGCCUCGGUGAGAAUCUUUGUAAUCAUGCACGUAACACCUUACCAAGAGCUUCUCCAAAUCAUUACCAUAAGCUACCAGGAGGAGCAGAUGUAUGUGCCAAAAAAGGAAUUCGUGCGUCACAGUUAAAAAUAUUU